CCUACGGGUGGCAGCAGUGAGGAAUAUUGGUCAAUGGACGAGAGCCUGAACCAGCCAAGCAGCGUGAAGGAUGACGGUACAGCGUAUUGUAAACCUCUUUUGUACGGGAAUAAAGGCGGGGACUUGUCCCCGGUUGUGGGUACCUGAAGAAUAAGCAUCGGCUAACUCCGUGCCAGCAGCCGCGGUAAUACGGAGGAUCCGAGCGUUAUCCGGAUUUAUUGGGUUUAAAGGGAGCGCAGGCGGACGCUUAAGUCAGCGGUGAAAGCUCGGGGCUCAACCCGCAGAUAGCCGUUGAGACUGGGUGUCUUGAGUGCGGGAGAGGUAGGCGGAAUGCGCGGUGUAGCGGUGAAAUGCUUAGAUAUCGCGAAGAACUCCGAUUGCGAAGGCAGCUUACUGG
Molecule: ribosomal RNA, 397 nt
Filed under: uncultured bacterium
Lineage: Bacteria
Description: partial 16S ribosomal RNA
Rfam family: Bacterial small subunit ribosomal RNA
Source: RNAcentral